CCGGCCGUAGGCAAUCGAUCCAUCCGACCAGGGCGCACGGCGCGUGGCGCCGCUCCACUGCAGUCUGCAGGAGGGGCGUGCGCUCCCUCCUCUCUCUUCUGUGCGGCGACGCACUGCUCCCAUACACGCGUGCGCCCCCUCCCUCUCCGUGCUGAUGCCGAGGCUGUCUCAUCGGAGCGGUUGGCGGAGGUCGUGCCAUCCCGUCGGCGCCUACCGGCCCUCGCCCCUGUCUUGCGACGGUCGCCGAGAUAUAAGUACCUCCCCUCCCUCCGGUGCCUCGUCCAUCUCGCCUCAACCCCAAAUCCUAGCAACAGCUUUGAUUUGCUCUCUUCUUCCCUCUGGUUCCUCCGCCUUCCCAGACCUCCUUAUCUUUUUUGUGCUUUCAUCCCUCUCUCCUACCAUGUGGUGUUUUUGUUUCCAAUUUUAUCUUGGUCUAAACCGCAACUUUCGGUUUUUGCUUUGGCCUAAUCUGCAACUUUUUGAUGUGCCUGAGCUACCCAGGCAAUGGCGUCAGGUGACCUAAGAGAGUGAGGGUUAAAUUGCAGCAGCAGGAUUUAAGCCUUUUAAGGUUCAGCUGAGCAGCGUAGAAAAAGAUGAUCCCUUACUGAAUCAGAUCACUCCAACCAAGGAAACAUAGAUUGCUUUAGUACCAAUAGUGCAAAGUACAAGGUCCGUCAAUGCUCCAGAUAUCCUUACUCAAACUGCAGUUGCAACGCCAACAGGUACACCGCAUAAGAAUGAUGAUACCAUUUUUGGCUAAGUCUACUGCUAAUCCUAAAGAAUCUAAGGAUGGAGCUGCUGAUUCUGCAACUAAGAUAGGAAAGACUAUCACUAGGAAAAGAUCUGUAUUGCCAACACAGAUUUAUUUUUUCAUAACAUGUCAAAUAAUAAUCUCCUAUCUAACAUGUAAAAUUUUUAGGUCCCGCCCCUCACCUAACAAGAAAACCGUCAGAAAACUGCUGCUUGAUCAGGACACUGAAAAUAAAGAUGAUGGCUGUGUCUGUGUACAUGACACUCCCAAGCCUAGUUCCAGUACCGAUGCUUAGAAGGAAGAAGCGGAUCAGCUCAUUUUGUGUUUACACAAUUGCAGCCAUGCAUAGACCUAUAUGUGAUGACUUGCUACUCCAUGCAAUAUAUUCAACUGUUUUAUUAUCAAUUAACUAUCUUUUGGAUACUCUUAUGGCUGCAAACUGUGUUACUUCCAACUUAAUAUAUUACUACUCCCUUUUAUUUGGAUCAGUAUUCCGAGCUACCUGCUAAAAUGUUCGGUAGCUACUAAUGCUGAUCCUCGAAUGUAAUAUAUGGUUUGACAGAACCUAUGGGCUGCAGAUGCCAUUCAAUCAGCGGUACUGCUACCGCUGCUGUUAAGAUAUUUGCAUGAGACAAUUGCCAUGAGUUUGCCUAUUGUUCAAA
This is a long non-coding RNA of Panicum hallii, 1413 nucleotides long. RefSeq lists it as uncharacterized. Lineage: Eukaryota; Viridiplantae; Streptophyta; Magnoliopsida; Poales; Poaceae. The record is from RefSeq and is a predicted model, not a curated record. The transcript is spliced from 5 exons.